This 1403-nucleotide ribosomal RNA is filed under the name uncultured bacterium. Its description in RNAcentral is "bacterial SSU rRNA". It matches the Rfam family "Bacterial small subunit ribosomal RNA". The record is from RNAcentral.
AGAGUUUGAUCCUGGCUCAGGAUGAACGCUAGCGACAGGCUUAACACAUGCAAGUCGAGGGGCAGCGGGGCUGAAGCUUGCUUCAGCCGCCGGCGACCGGCGCACGGGUGAGUAACACGUAUGCAACCUGCCCUUUGCUGGGGGAUAACCGGAAGAAAUUCCGACUAAUACCGCAUAACAUGCCGAGGGGACAUCCCCUUGGCCUCAAAGGAGCAAUCCGGCAAAGGAUGGGCAUGCGUCGCAUUAGCUAGUCGGCGGGGUAACGGCCCACCGAGGCGACGAUGCGUAGGGGUUCUGAGAGGAAGGCCCCCCACACUGGUACUGAGACACGGACCAGACUCCUACGGGAGGCAGCAGUGAGGAAUAUUGGUCAAUGGGCGGAAGCCUGAACCAGCCAAGUCGCGUGAGGGAAGACGGUCCUAUGGAUUGUAAACCUCUUUUGCCGGGGAGCAAUGCCACCUUUGCGAAGGUGGAGGGAGAGUACCCGGAGAAAAAGCAUCGGCUAACUCCGUGCCAGCAGCCGCGGUAAUACGGAGGAUGCGAGCGUUAUCCGGAUUUAUUGGGUUUAAAGGGUGCGUAGGCGGGCUGUUAAGUCAGCGGUCAAAUGUCGGGGCUCAACCCCGGCCUGCCGUUGAAACUGGUGCCUUGAGUGAGCGAGAAGUAUGCGGAAUGCGUGGUGUAGCGGUGAAAUGCAUAGAUAUCACGCAGAACUCCGAUUGCGAAGGCAGCAUACCGGCGCUCAACUGACGCUGAGGCACGAAAGCGUGGGGAUCGAACAGGAUUAGAUACCCUGGUAGUCCACGCAGUAAACGAUGAAUGCUACCUGUCCGGGACUUCGGUCCUGGGUGGGACAGCGAAAGCGUUAAGCAUUCCACCUGGGGAGUACGCCGGCAACGGUGAAACUCAAAGGAAUUGACGGGGGCCCGCACAAGCGGAGGAACAUGUGGUUUAAUUCGAUGAUACGCGAGGAACCUUACCCGGGCUCAAACGUAGCAGGACGUGCGCCGAAAAGCGCAUUUCACUUGUGACCUGUUACGAGGUGCUGCAUGGUUGUCGUCAGCUCGUGCCGUGAGGUGUCGGCUUAAGUGCCAUAACGAGCGCAACCCCUGCCGCCAGUUGCUAACGCGAAAAGGCGAGGACUCUGGCGGGACUGCCGGCGCAAGCCGUGAGGAAGGCGGGGAUGACGUCAAGUCAUCAUGCCCCUUAUGACCUGGGCUACACACGUGCUACAAUGGACGGUACAACGAGAAGCGAACCUGCGAAGGCAAGCGGAUCUCUUAAAGCCGUUCUCAGUUCGGACUGUAGGCUGCAACUCGCCUACACGAAGCUGGAAUCGCUAGUAAUCGCAGAUCAGCACGCCGCGGUGAAUACGUUCCCGGGCCUUGCACUCACCGCCCGUCAAG